This 444-nucleotide ribosomal RNA is filed under the name uncultured bacterium. RNAcentral describes it as "partial 16S ribosomal RNA". It matches the Rfam family "Bacterial small subunit ribosomal RNA", at positions 29 to 507 of the family's 1533-position model. The record is from RNAcentral.
AAUCAACGCUGGCGGCGCGCUUAACACAUGCAAGUCGCACGAGAAAGGGAGCAAUCCUGAGUAAAGUGGCGUACGGGUGAGUAACACGUGGGAAUCUACCUCUUGGCGGGGAAUAACCCUGGGAAACCGGGGCUAAUACCGCAUAAGCUCGUGAGAGGAAAGCAGCAAUGCACCGAGAGAGGAGCCCGCGGCCGAUUAGCUAGUUGGUGGGGUAAUGGCUCGCCAAGGCGAAGAUCGGUAGCCGGCCUGAGAGGGCACACGGCCACACUGGCACUGAAACACGGGCCAGACUCCUACGGGAGGCAGCAGUGGGGAAUCUUGCACAAUGGGGGAAACCCUGAUGCAGCGACGCCGCGUGAGCGAUGAAGCCCUUCGGGGUGUAAAGCUCUUUCGACAGGAACGAUAAUGACGGUACCUGGAGAAGAAGCUGCGGCUAACUACGUG